CACGCUGUAAACUAUGUUCACUCGCUGUUUGCGAUAUACUGUAAGCGGCUAAGCGAAAGCAUUAAGUGAACCACCUGGGGAGUACGAUCGCAAGGUUGAAACUCAAAGGAAUUGACGGGGGCCCGCACAAGCGGAGGAACAUGUGGUUUAAUUCGAUGAUACGCGAGGAACCUUACCUGGGCUUAAAUGUAGAUUGAUUGAACCGGAAACGGUUUUUUCCUUCGGGACAAUUUACAAGGUGC
Molecule: ribosomal RNA, 242 nt
Filed under: uncultured Prolixibacter sp.
Lineage: Bacteria; Pseudomonadati; Bacteroidota; Bacteroidia; Marinilabiliales; Prolixibacteraceae
Description: partial 16S ribosomal RNA
Rfam family: Bacterial small subunit ribosomal RNA
Source: RNAcentral